Molecule: ribosomal RNA, 253 nt
Filed under: uncultured bacterium
Lineage: Bacteria
Description: partial 16S ribosomal RNA
Rfam family: Bacterial small subunit ribosomal RNA
Source: RNAcentral
GACGUAGGGGGCGAGCGUUGUCCGGAAUUACUGGGCGUAAAGCGUGCGCAGGCGGUUUUGUAAGCCAGAUGUGAAAGCCCCGGGCUUAACCUGGGAAUGGCAUUUGGGACUGCAAGGCUUGAGUGCGGCAGAGGAGACUGGAAUUCCUGGUGUAGCAGUGAAAUGCGCGGAUAUCAGGAGGAACACCGGUGGCGAAGGCGGUUCUCUGGGCAUGUCCUGACGCUGAGGAGCGAAAGUGUGGGGAGCGAACAGG